This 72-nucleotide transfer RNA is filed under the name Fusarium oxysporum f. sp. vasinfectum. Its description in RNAcentral is "tRNA-Thr". Lineage: Eukaryota; Fungi; Ascomycota; Sordariomycetes; Hypocreales; Nectriaceae. The record is from RNAcentral.
UGCCCCGUACUGGAAUCGAACCAGUGAUCUUCGCAUUACGAGUGCGACGCCUUACCACUUGGCCAACGGGGC